UACAGAGGGUGCAAGCGUUAAUCGGAAUUACUGGGCGUAAAGCGUGCGUAGACGGUUGCGUAAGUCAGAUGUGAAAGCCCCGGGCUCAACCUGGGAAUUGCAUUUGAGACUGCGUAGCUAGGGUGCGGAAGAGGGAAGCGGAAUUUCCGGUGUAGCGGUGAAAUGCGUAGAUAUCGGAAGGAACACCAGUGGCGAAGGCGACUUUCUGGUCUGUAACUGACACUGAGGCGCGAAAGCGUGGGGAGCAAACAGG
Molecule: ribosomal RNA, 253 nt
Filed under: uncultured bacterium
Lineage: Bacteria
Description: partial 16S ribosomal RNA
Rfam family: Bacterial small subunit ribosomal RNA
Source: RNAcentral